GAAAUACUCCCUCCGUCCCAAAAUUCUUGUCUUAGAUUUGUCUAAAUACGGAUGUAUCAAGUCACAUUUUAAUAUUAGAUACAUCCGUAUCUAGACUAAUCUAAGAAUUUUGGGACGGAAGGAGUAUAAA
Molecule: non-coding RNA, 130 nt
Organism: Triticum aestivum (bread wheat)
Lineage: Eukaryota; Viridiplantae; Streptophyta; Magnoliopsida; Poales; Poaceae
Source: Rfam